RNAcentral lists this transfer RNA (68 nucleotides) under Marmota monax (woodchuck). RNAcentral describes it as "tRNA.Ala". Lineage: Eukaryota; Metazoa; Chordata; Mammalia; Rodentia; Sciuridae. The record is from RNAcentral.
GGAUGUGGCUCAAGUGGUAGCGCGCUUGCCUAGCAUGUGUGAGGCACUGGGUUCAAUUCUCAGCACCA